CAAUGCGUGGCCUAGCGGUUAGCGCUCUUGUUUUUGAAUCUCGGGUCACGGGUUCGACCCCCACCGGGGUCA
Non-coding RNA from Caenorhabditis brenneri, 72 nucleotides. Lineage: Eukaryota; Metazoa; Nematoda; Chromadorea; Rhabditida; Rhabditidae. The record is from the annotation of a GenBank genome assembly.